UGGGGAAUAUUGGACAAUGGGCGGAAGCCUGACGCAGCCAUGCCGCGUGUGUGAUGAAGGCUUUCGGGUCGUAAAGCACUGUUUGGAGGGAAGAAGAUCUGACGGUACCUCCCAAGAAAGCACCGGCUAACUCCCAGCCAGCAGCCGCGGUAAUGCGGAGGGUGCGAGCGUUGCUCGGAAUCACUGCGCGUAAAGCGUAUGCAGGCGGCUUCAUCAGUCGGGUGUGAAAUCCCGGAGCUCAACUCCGGAACUGCGCCCGAUACUGUGGGGCUUGAGUACGGGGGAGGGACAGCGGAAUUCCUGGUGUAGAGGUGAAAUUCGUAGAUAUCAGGAGGAACACCAGUGGCGAAAGCGGCUUCCUGGCCCGAUACUGACGCUGAGAUACGAAAGCGUGGGGAGCAAACAGGAUUAGAUACCCGUGUAGUCC
RNAcentral lists this ribosomal RNA (427 nucleotides) under uncultured prokaryote. Its description in RNAcentral is "bacterial SSU rRNA". It matches the Rfam family "Bacterial small subunit ribosomal RNA", at positions 355 to 796 of the family's 1533-position model. The record is from RNAcentral.